Molecule: ribosomal RNA, 507 nt
Filed under: uncultured bacterium
Lineage: Bacteria
Description: partial 16S ribosomal RNA
Rfam family: Bacterial small subunit ribosomal RNA (bases 13-372)
Source: RNAcentral
GACGAACGCUGGCGGCGUGCUUAACACAUGCAAGUCGAACGGAAAGGCCCUGCUUUUGUGGGGUGCUCGAGUGGCGAACGGGUGAGUAACACGUGAGUAACCUGCCCUUGACUUUGGGAUAACUUCAGGAAACUGGGGCUAAUACCGGAUAGGAGCUCCUGCUGCAUGGUGGGGGUUGGAAAGUUUCGGCGGUUGGGGAUGGACUCGCGGCUUAUCAGCUUGUUGGUGGGGUAGUGGCUUACCAAGGCUUUGACGGGUAGCCGGCCUGAGAGGGUGACCGGUGCAAGUGGGACGGUGUGCCGGCCCGACCGCGUACGGGGGGGAGUGGGGGGGAACAUUGCACAGGGGGCGGAAGGUGGGUGAGCCACCCUGGUGGGGGUGAGAACGUCUUCGGGUUUGUCGACUGUUGGCGCCUGGGACGGAGAGGGAGGGAGGGUAAUGGGUAAAGAAGCACCGGCUAACCACGGGCCAGAAGCGGGGGUAAUAACGAAGAGAACACGUCUGACC